UAGUAAUGGUACCCGACAGUCGGAUACAUCGAAUGUGUAGAACAACAUCUUUAGAAUCCAUGCGGAUAUAGUUUUCAAAUAAUUCAUCCCCUUGACCAAAAUACUUAUAGGACACCUUAGACUUCAACUAUCAACUUUGAUCAGGUUGUCCACAUUGUAUUUCAAAAUAUCAAAUCCAUCUGAUGGAUUACCCUGGCCAAGGUUUUGCUAAAUUGAAAUACAGCAACUCAUUCUUCUCCAACUCUUGGAGUAGUCAAUCCCAUC
Molecule: long non-coding RNA, 264 nt
Filed under: Elaeis guineensis (African oil palm)
Lineage: Eukaryota; Viridiplantae; Streptophyta; Magnoliopsida; Arecales; Arecaceae
Description: long non-coding RNA (EGUI_LNC060390)
Source: RNAcentral